UGGUGCAUCUGAUUGAAACUGAAAAGGAGGGAUCAUGUUUGUUUUCACUGUUAAGAAGAGAAGUUUAAAAUAGGGUGUUCGUUGAUGCUUAGAACUUCUUGUAGUUAUGGGUUGGUGAUGUGCUCUCUUAGUCUCUGUCUCUCCUUCUGGGUUGGAUUUUCAUUUGGGAAGGGAGUUAACGAAACAUUUGUGUCACUGUUUGGCUUUGAACAUGAUGCAUGAACCCCUCAAACAGAUACUCAAAAUAGUAAAAGAAAAGUUGGCUUUUUAUUAAAUAACCUAAAGUGAAGGCAAUUGAAUAAUAAAGAGUUCAAUUACACCUUUUGGCAUUUAUAAAAGUCUUUUUCCUUAAUCAAAAUCAUUUAUUAGGUUUUUGGGGUUUUAAUUUAAAGGUGCAAAACGUAAGAGUUUAAAAAAUAAAGUUUGGGAUUGCAUCAUAGCAAAG
RNAcentral lists this unclassified non-coding RNA (445 nucleotides) under Hevea brasiliensis (rubber tree). The record is from RNAcentral. Lineage: Eukaryota; Viridiplantae; Streptophyta; Magnoliopsida; Malpighiales; Euphorbiaceae.